This 781-nucleotide long non-coding RNA is filed under the name Neogobius melanostomus (round goby). RNAcentral describes it as "lncRNA (ENSNMLG00000012029.1)". The record is from RNAcentral. Lineage: Eukaryota; Metazoa; Chordata; Actinopteri; Gobiiformes; Gobiidae.
AAGCGACGCUAAACACAACCCAGAAAAUCCCUGUCCCGCAGAGUCCAAGUGCAGAAGCAGCGGGGCCGUCUCUGGCCGCGGGCGAGACUCUUCUGGAAAGACUACUCACCUAUAACAACUUCAGUGAGUAAACGUUGAAUGGCUUGAUCCCUACAUCUGCAGUUUGAGUUCUUUGCUGACUUUCUCCCAAACUCCAGCCUCUUUGAAGAAACUGAGUUGAAUCCAUCUUUUCCAGUUCCUUCUGACUGAGAGAAACCUGGUUAUUUUAUCCAACCUCCCGAAGUACGAUCCUCAGGACCCUUACACCGAGGAGGAGCUGGUGGAGAAGCUCACGCCAUUUGGUUUUAAACACGAACCGAGCAACAUCUACAUCGUCCCUCAGUGCAACAUGGCUUUUAUCACGAUGCCCGACGGUCGAGCGAUUCUGGAGCUGGUGAAAGCGUUUAUGAGGCCAGAUCCCAACGCGAUGUUCCGGGGCUGUGACCUUAUUCCCCACGUCAUCAACGAAGCAACGGUCGUCAUGACGCCGGCUUGGUUUUACUGGUAUGUGUCGCGGAUGUGCAAAUUUCACUGCGAAAACACCGCAGACAAACUGGUCUUCAUCACAGGUGUUUCUGACAGCGACGCUGUGGAACUCCGGAAAAAGCUGGAGAAGAUCGGAUCGGUCAAUAACUACCUGCCGCUGCUCAACAGGGUAACGACAACCGCAAUGAAAAACCUACAUUUACUCCUUGUUCUAAGAAAAUCCAAUCCCGGCUUUGUGUCAAAUGUCAAGCUAUGA